AUUGAACGCUGGCGGCAGGUCUAACACAUGCAAGUCGAGCGGAGCGGCGGACGGGUGAGUAAUGCCUAGGAAUCUGCCUGGUAGUGGGGGAUAACGUCCGGAAACGGGCGCUAAUACCGCAUACUAUCAGAUGAGCCUAGGUCGGAUUAGCGAGUUGGUGGGGUAAAGGCCUACCAAGGCGACGAUCCGUAACUGGUCUGAGAGGAUGAUCAGUCACACUGGAACGGCGACACGGGCCAGAUUCCUACGGGAGGCCGCAGUGGGGAUUAUUGGACAAUGGGAGAAAGCCAGAUCCAGCCAGGCGGAGUGUGUGAAGAAGGUCUUCGGAUUGUAAAGCACUUUAAAUUAGGAGGCGUUGCCAACAGAUUAAGCACCGGCUAACUUCGUGCCAGCAGCCGCGGUAAUAC
RNAcentral lists this ribosomal RNA (407 nucleotides) under uncultured bacterium. Its description in RNAcentral is "partial 16S ribosomal RNA". It matches the Rfam family "Bacterial small subunit ribosomal RNA", at positions 30 to 526 of the family's 1533-position model. The record is from RNAcentral.